RNAcentral lists this unclassified non-coding RNA (231 nucleotides) under uncultured Basidiomycota. Its description in RNAcentral is "sequence contains ITS1". The record is from RNAcentral. Lineage: Eukaryota; Fungi; Basidiomycota.
UCGAGUUUUGAAAUGGGUUGUUUUGCUGGCCUUUUAACAGGCAUGUGCACGCCCUGCUCAUCCACUCUUAAACCCUUAUGUGCACCUUUGUAGAGUUCUUAGAAAUGUGUGAAAGUCUGGGCUGUAACAGGCUCUGACGGGAUCACGUCCCUAAGCUCUAUGUACAUUUUAAUACAAACGCUUCAGUUAUAGAAUGUCAUGACUUGCGUCUUUAUAACGCAUUAUAAUAUA